Molecule: ribosomal RNA, 590 nt
Filed under: Belnapia sp.
Lineage: Bacteria; Pseudomonadati; Pseudomonadota; Alphaproteobacteria; Acetobacterales; Roseomonadaceae
Description: bacterial SSU rRNA
Rfam family: Bacterial small subunit ribosomal RNA
Source: RNAcentral
CACGGGGGCUUCGGCCUUAGUGGCGGACGGGUGAGUAACGCGUAGGAACGUGUCCUGGGAUGGGGGAUAACGCUGGGAAACUGGCGCUAAUACCGCAUGUCUGCUGAGGCAGAAAGCCUUUGGGUGUCUUGGGAGCGGCCUGCGUCCGAUUAGCUAGUUGGUGGGGUAAAGGCUUACCAAGGCGACGAUCGGUAGCUGGUCUGAGAGGACGAUCAGCCACACUGGGACUGAGACACGGCCCAGACUCCUACGGGAGGCAGCAGUGGGGAAUAUUGGACAAUGGGCGGAAGCCUGAUCCAGCAAUUCCGCGUGGGUGAAGAAGGUCUUCGGAUUGUAAAGCCCUUUCGGCGGGGACGAUGAUGACGGUACCCGCAGAAGAAGCCCCGGCUAACUUCGUGCCAGCAGCCGCGGUAAUACGAAGGGGGCUAGCGUUGCUCGGAAUUACUGGGCGUAAAGGGCGCGUAGGCGGCGCAGUUAGUCAGGCGUGAAAUUCCUGGGCUUAACCUGGGGACUGCGCUUGAUACGGCUGUGCUAGAGGGUGGAAGAGGCUCGCGGAAUUCCCAGUGUAGAGGUGAAAUUCGUAGAUAUUG